AACGAACGCUGGCGGCAUGCCUAACACAUGCAAGUCGAACGAGACCUUCGGGUCCAGUGGCGCACGGGUGCGUAACGCGUGGGAACCUGCCCUCAGGUUCGGAAUAACUCCCCGAAAGGGGUGCCAAUACCGGACAAUUUCUUCGGCCCAAAGAUUUAUCGCCUUUGGAUGGGCCCGCGUUGGAUUAGCUAGUUGGUAGGGUAAAAGCCUACCAAGGCGACGUUCCAUAGCUGGUCUGAGAGGAUGAUCAGCAACACUGGGACUGGGACACGGCCCAGACUCCUACGGGAGGAAGCAGUGGGGAAUAUUGGACGAUGGGCGAGAGCCUGAUCCAGCAAUGCCGCGUGAGUGAUGAAGGCCUUAGGGUUGUAAAGCUCUUUUACCCGGGAUGAUAAUGACAGUACCGGGAGAAUAAGCGCCGGCUAACUCCGUG
RNAcentral lists this ribosomal RNA (433 nucleotides) under uncultured bacterium. Its description in RNAcentral is "partial 16S ribosomal RNA". It matches the Rfam family "Bacterial small subunit ribosomal RNA", at positions 29 to 507 of the family's 1533-position model. The record is from RNAcentral.